UACAGAGGGUGCGAGCGUUAAUCGGAAUUACUGGGCGUAAAGCGUGCGUAGACGGUAAUGUAAGUCAGAUGUGAAAGCCCGAGGCUUAACCUCGGAAUUGCACCUAAAACUACUUGGCUAGAGUACUGGAGAGGGAAACGGAAUUCACGGUGUAGCAGUGAAAUGCGUAGAUAUCGUGAGGAACACCAGAGGCGAAGGCGGUUUCCUGGACAGUUACUGACGCUCAGGCACGAAAGCGUGGGGAGCAAAAGGG
RNAcentral lists this ribosomal RNA (253 nucleotides) under uncultured bacterium. Its description in RNAcentral is "partial 16S ribosomal RNA". It matches the Rfam family "Bacterial small subunit ribosomal RNA", at positions 524 to 776 of the family's 1533-position model. The record is from RNAcentral.